This 423-nucleotide ribosomal RNA is filed under the name uncultured organism. RNAcentral describes it as "bacterial SSU rRNA". It matches the Rfam family "Bacterial small subunit ribosomal RNA", at positions 346 to 767 of the family's 1533-position model. The record is from RNAcentral.
GCGCAGCAGUCGCGAAUUUCUCAAUGGGGAAACCCUGAAGGAGCGACGCCGCGUGGAGGAUGAAGGCUUCGGUUGUAAACUCCUGUCAUUUGAGAACAAGUGGCCGAACGUAACUACUUCGGCCUUGAUAGUAUCAGAAGAGGAAGGGACGGCUAACUCUGUGCCAGCAGCCGCGGUAAUACAGAGGUCUCAAGCGUUGUUCGGAUUCAUUGGGCGUAAAGGGUGCGUAGGUGGCGCCGUAAGUCGGGUGUGAAAUUUCGGAGCUUAACUCCGAAACUGCAUUCGAUACUGCGGUGCUUGAGGACUGGAGAGGAGACUGGAGUUUACGGUGUAGCAGUGAAAUGCGUAGAGAUCGUAAGGAAGACCAGUGGCGAAGGCGGGUCUCUGGACAGUUCCUGACACUGAGGCACGAAGGCCAGGGGA